This 104-nucleotide small nuclear RNA is filed under the name Microtus ochrogaster (prairie vole). Lineage: Eukaryota; Metazoa; Chordata; Mammalia; Rodentia; Cricetidae. The record is from RNAcentral.
UCACUCCCUUCGGCAGCACGGCCACUAAAAUUGGUAUGAUAUAGAGGUUAUGGAGGACCCUGCCCAAGGAUGACAUGCAAGUUCGUGAAACAGUCCAUAUUUCA